RNAcentral lists this ribosomal RNA (220 nucleotides) under uncultured bacterium. Its description in RNAcentral is "partial 16S ribosomal RNA". It matches the Rfam family "Bacterial small subunit ribosomal RNA", at positions 1281 to 1500 of the family's 1533-position model. The record is from RNAcentral.
GACCAUCCCAGUUCGGAUCGCAGGCUGCAACCCGCCUGCGUGAAGUUGGAAUCGCUAGUAAUCGCGGAUCAGCAUGCCGCGGUGAAUACGUUCCCGGGCCUUGUACACACCGCCCGUCACACCAUGAGAGUCGGGAACACCCGAAGUCCGUAGUCUAACCGCAAGGGGGACGCGGCCGAAGGUGGGUUCGAUAAUUGGGGUGAAGUCGUAACAAGGUAUC